This 54-nucleotide transfer RNA is filed under the name Strongyloides sp. EN-2020b. Its description in RNAcentral is "tRNA-Gln". Lineage: Eukaryota; Metazoa; Nematoda; Chromadorea; Rhabditida; Strongyloididae. The record is from RNAcentral.
UGCAAAUUAGUUUAAGUAGAAUGUUUGUUUUUGGUACAAAUGGUUUAUUUGGCU